This 460-nucleotide ribosomal RNA is filed under the name uncultured bacterium. RNAcentral's name for it is "partial 16S ribosomal RNA". It matches the Rfam family "Bacterial small subunit ribosomal RNA", at positions 338 to 795 of the family's 1533-position model. The record is from RNAcentral.
CCUACGGGUGGCAGCAGUGAGGAAUAUUGGUCAAUGGACGAGAGUCUGAACCAGCCAAGUAGCGUGAAGGAUGACUGCCCUAUGGGUUGUAAACUUCUUUUAUAUGGGAAUAAAAUGUUCCACGUGUGGGAUUUUGUAUGUACCAUAUGAAUAAGGAUCGGCUAACUCCGUGCCAGCAGCCGCGGUAAUACGGAGGAUCCGAGCGUUAUCCGGAUUUAUUGGGUUUAAAGGGAGCGUAGGUGGAUUGUUAAGUCAGUUGUGAAAGUGUGCGGCUCAACCGUAAAAUUGCAGUUGAAACUGGCAGUCGUGAGUACAGUAGAGGUGGGCGGAAUGCGUGGUGUAGCGGUGAAAUGCUUAGAUAUCACGAAGAACUCCGAUUGCGAAGGCAGCUCACUGGGCUGCAACUGACACUGAGGCUCGAAAGUGUGGGUAUCAAACAGGAUUAGAUACCCCUGUAGUC